GCAAGACAAAUUUUAUUUUGUCUCAAAGUUGAGUUUUCUUAAAUAAAUAAGACGUACAGAUGUUGGUCCUGGGAGUCAUAGAAAAUUUGUUCUUUUUCCCGUCUUAAAAAUACGAUAAAAAUCUUGCUGAUAAAAUUGAAGAAACUUCCCUCAAUGUUUCUAAUGAGAAAACGAAAAAAUUUAAACCAACUACUGAUGUAGAUCCAAGGUUUCAACAAACAAACCAAUCUCUCAGGUGUUAUGUACACGGAGAAAAAUGGACUUGAGAAAUGUACGAAUUUUUAUUAUGCUGUCGACCCAACUUGAAACAGGCAGUUGAGUCGCCAGAAAAUUACUAUGCGGCAUUACAAAAAAUAUCAUACUCUCAAAACUUGUUGAUUAAUUGUAAUAAAAAUUAUUUGUCUAAAUUAGGAAUUAUUGUCAAGAAUAAAACAUUUUUAUCGGCUCACAAUAAUAAUUAUAGUACAGCGUGAUAGUUUUUUGGCGACUCAACUUCCUGUUUAAAGUUUGGUCGACAGCAUAAUAAAAAUUCGUACAUAUUUCAUCUCCAUUUUUCUCGGUGUAAUGUACACAGACUAUUACCGACGUGAGAAAGAUCUCAGAAAAAAAUGAAAAAGCUUGUGAAUGGUUUAAAGAUACUUUUUAAGCAUUGUCCAAAGGAAUCGAUAGAAUGCUGGGACGAUCUUCGUCGUCGAGACCCUCCUGAAUUUAGUUCGGAUGAAGAAAAAUCUCAAGGAAAAUUUCUAGGACAUUCUUAUGGAGACUUAAAUUUAUUUUUAAAAAUAUUCAAUUCUACUUAAAGAUUACAAUUAAUGUAAUAAAUAAAUAAACAACACAUAAUUAAA
Microplitis mediator is the source of this 845-nucleotide long non-coding RNA. RefSeq lists it as uncharacterized. The transcript is spliced from 3 exons. The record is from RefSeq and is a predicted model, not a curated record. NCBI's taxonomy places the organism in Eukaryota, Metazoa, Arthropoda, Insecta, Hymenoptera, Braconidae.